AGUGAAUGCUGGCGGUAGGCCUAACACAUGCAAGUCGAACGGCAGCACAGGAGAGCUUGCUCUCUGGGUGGCGAGUGGCGGACGGGUGAGGAAUACAUCGGAAUCUACUCUGUCGUGGGGGAUAACGUAGGGAAACUUACGCUAAUACCGCAUACGACCUACGGGUGAAAGCAGGGGACCUUCGGCACGUGCGCGAUUGAAUAAGCCGAUGUCGGAUUAGCUAGUUGGCGGGGUAAAGGCCCACCAAGGCGACGAUCCGUAGCUGGUCUGAGAGGAUGAUCAGCCACACUGGAACUGAGACACGGUCCAGACUCCUACGGGAGGCAGCAGUGGGGAAUAUUGGACAAUGGGCGCAAGCCUGAUCCAGCCAUACCGCGUGGGUGAAGAAGGCCUUCGGGUUGUAAAGCCCUUUUGUUGGGAAAGAAAUCCAGCUGGCUAAUACCCGGUUGGGAUGACGGUACCCAAAGAAUAAGCACCGGCUAACUUCGUGCCAGCCGCCGCAGUAA
Molecule: ribosomal RNA, 506 nt
Filed under: uncultured bacterium
Lineage: Bacteria
Description: partial 16S ribosomal RNA
Rfam family: Bacterial small subunit ribosomal RNA
Source: RNAcentral